This 441-nucleotide ribosomal RNA is filed under the name uncultured bacterium. RNAcentral's name for it is "partial 16S ribosomal RNA". It matches the Rfam family "Bacterial small subunit ribosomal RNA", at positions 338 to 795 of the family's 1533-position model. The record is from RNAcentral.
CCUACGGUGGCAGCAGUAGGGAAUCUUUCACAAUGGGCGAAAGCCUGAUGGAGCAACGCCGCGUUCAGGAUGAAGGCCUUCGGGUUGUAAACUGCUUUUAUAAGCGAGAAAUAUGAUGGUAACUCAUGAAUAAGGAUCGGCUAACUACGUGCCAGCAGCCGCGGUCAUACGUAGGAGCCGAGCAUUAUUCGGAGUGACUGGGUGUAAAGAGUUGCGUAGGUGGCAUAAUAAGUAGCUAGUGAAAUCUGGUGGCUCAACCAUUCAGACUAUUAGCUAAACUGUUAAGCUCGAGACCGUUAGGGGUAGCUGGAAUGUCUAGUGUAGGGGUGAAAUGCGUAGAUAUUAGAAGGAACACCAAUAGCGUAGGCAGGUUACUGGGACGGUUCUGACACUGAGGCACGAAAGCGUAGGGAGCAAACGGGAUUAGAUACCCUUGUAGUC